UGACAGGACCCAGGGUGGUCACUGUGCAACUUCUCCAGGUGGAACUGCCUUCCCAGCUUUCUCCCUGCUUGUCAAAGGAAGGCCUUUGGCAUCAAUACAGUGGUGGUCCAGGUGCUUCCUAAUCCUUAUACCACCCAGCUACCUGCUCUAUGGAUGUGGUUGUAAGCUCCCACUCUGGGUGGUGCCAGCCUGUUUUCUUCUCCAAGAGAGAUACAGCCACCUUCCUGGCAAGAACCUCCCGGGUUCCCGAAAGGCCAACUGACUUUUCAGGGGCCAGGAAAUAGGAAAAGAGAAUUCCUUCAGGGGGCCAGGAUGGAAAUAAGCCACAAGAGGCUACACCAUUCUGGGCUGCACCUGUGAGCAUCGGCUGAUGCCCUGUCAGCGUUUCCAUGACAAACUCGUAUUUCUGGAUGCCUCUCUUCCAGCUUCAAGAGCGUGCCUUGUGAGAGUUGUAUGGGUAUUAUAUUUGUACAGUAUGCAUGCAAGCAUGUGACACACGGGAGCUCUGUGGUGGAGAGCUGUCAUGGCAAAUCCACAACCACCACACAGUACGCUUGGAGAUGAACUCGCCUGAUCUUCCCUCCCUCACCAAGAAAAAGGGUUAAAAUCCAGUGACGCAGUGACACAUCACCUGCAUCAGAACAGAAUCUUCUCAGACCAGACUGCACCUUCCCAUUCCAGAGCCUGCAGCACAGCGUCUGAACUGCCGAAUUGACUCACUUGAUUAUGGAAGUAAGAAAUCCCAGGAUCUGCCAUCUGCAAGCUGAUGAAUCAGGAAAACCAGUGGUAUUCUUCCUUCCAAGUCCAAAGGCCUAAGAACCCAAGGAGUUACUGGUGUAAGUCUGGGGUCCAAAGGCCAGAGAACCAGGAGUUUCUAUGGCCGAGGGAGAAGAUGGAGGUCCCAGCUCAAGAAGAGAGAGAAUUCACCCUUCCUCCACCUUUUGGUUCUAUUUAGGCACUCAACAGAUUGGAUGAUUGGUGCCAUUCGCAUUGGUUAGGACAAUCUUCUUUACUCAGUCUACUGAUUCAAAUGCUAAUUUCUUCCAGAAACAUCCUCACAGACCCACCAGAAAUAAUGUUUUACCAGCUGUCUGGGCAUUCGUUAGCCCAAACUGACACUUAAAUUUAAUCAUCAUGUACCCCAUCUUGAAGUAGAACAUCAGCUUUAGUUGUUUUUGCUGGUGCAGUCGGGGUCAUGAACCAUCCACCUUGAGAAUAUUGCCUUCUAAUAGCUUCCAUUCCUGGAGUUGUUAUUCUGAACACGAGUGCAGGACAUUCUCCACUGGCUCCCCCAGCUUCACUUUCCAGCCUUCUCAGCCCUGUUCUGAGAUCCAGGAGGCUGACCUGUGUGGUCUAUACCCAGAGGCUCCCUUUCUCUCUGGUUUCUGGUUGGGCUUGGCCACUGGGAGGCAUUGAUAAGAGAUGGGAAGGAAGAGGAGUUCAGGGUGUUUAUUCUGCUAGCUCCCUCCCUGCUGGGCUGAUGGCUGGUUAAAGCUCCUAUCCCAAGCCCUCUCCUAGCUGCAGCUGCCCUGGGAUCUGGUCUCUACUCCCCACUUGCCCCUUGAGCCGAGAGGUGAUAAUUAGUCCCUAUUGUUGCUGGUCCCUGGGAUUCAUUACUACCUUCCCUUGCCUCCUCACUCUUGUUGCUUACCUGACCCCUGGAAACAGCCCCUUCAUCCAGCUCUUCUCACUCCCUGGAGUGACAGGACCCACACUGAUUCAGGGCCCCCAAAUUCCACAGCAUUGUCAUUUCACUGAGUCUCGCCUUAGUGUUGUAAAGUAGAGAGGGGAGGGAGGAAGAAUUACAUUCUUAUUUAUGGAGGUUGUCACGUGAACCUUUUGAAAAUGAUUCAAAUGUCAAGGUCUAACUUGCAUUUUUACAAGUUAGAAAUAGCCACCAUUUUUGGCCAAGUAAAGGGUUUAGACAGUGGCUGAAGAACAGUGUUUCUGAAAAGCUGAGUGAAAAUGAAUCCACAGCUUGUCACUAUCGUGACCUAACUACGGGACUACAACAACAAGGCAGGAACCACUAAAAUGCAGGGUGGGGCUUUGCUGCACGACCCAGCCCGUCUACCUGAUCUUGACCACACAACCAAAAAAAGAUAAACACCAAGCACAUUCUACAGCAAGACUGAGUCAGUGAUCAACAUUUGAGGGAUGCUGGAAAAGCCUCUCAACCUCAA
Long non-coding RNA from Rhinolophus ferrumequinum (greater horseshoe bat), 2183 nucleotides. RefSeq lists it as uncharacterized. The transcript is spliced from 4 exons. The record is from RefSeq and is a predicted model, not a curated record. NCBI's taxonomy places the organism in Eukaryota, Metazoa, Chordata, Mammalia, Chiroptera, Rhinolophidae.